Molecule: microRNA, 21 nt
Filed under: Raphanus sativus (radish)
Lineage: Eukaryota; Viridiplantae; Streptophyta; Magnoliopsida; Brassicales; Brassicaceae
Description: rsa-miRn23
Source: RNAcentral
AUAGAGAGAGAGAGAGAGAUA